GAUGAAGAACGUAGCAAAAUGCGAUAAGUAAUGUGAAUUGCAGAAUUCAGUGAAUCAUCGAAUCUUUGAACGCACAUUGCGCCCGCCAGUAUUCUGGCGGGCAUGCCUGUUCGAGCGUCAUUUCAACCCUCAAGCACAGCUUGGUGUUGGGACUCGCGUUAAUUCGCGUUCCCCAAAUUGAUUGGCGGUCACGUCGAGCUUCCAUAGCGUAGUAGUAAAACCCUCGUUACUGGUAAUCGUCGCGGCCACGCCGUUAAACCCCAACUUCUGAAUGUUGACCUCGGAUCAGGUAGGAAUACCCGCUGAACUUAGGCAUAUCAAUAAGCGGAGGA
This 332-nucleotide unclassified non-coding RNA is filed under the name soil metagenome. Its description in RNAcentral is "partial contains 5.8S ribosomal RNA, internal transcribed spacer 2, and large subunit ribosomal RNA". The stretch from base 1 to 120 matches the Rfam family "5.8S ribosomal RNA", at positions 35 to 154 of the family's 154-position model. The record is from RNAcentral.